UGCUAUACAUGCAGUCGAGCGGAUCUUUGAGAGCUUGCUCUCAAAGAUUAGCGGCGGACGGGUGAGUAACACGUGGGUAACCUGCCUGUAAGAUUGGGAUAACUCCGGGAAACCGGAGCUAAUACCGGAUAACAUUUUGAACCGCAUGGUUCGAAAUUGAAAGGUGGCUUUUGCUACCACUUACAGAUGGACCCGCGGCGCAUUAGCUAGUUGGUGAGGUAAUGGCUCACCAAGGCAACGAUGCGUAGCCGACCUGAGAGGGUGAUCGGCCACACUGGGACUGAGACACGGCCCAGACUCCUACGGGAGGCAGCAGUAGGGAAUCUUCCGCAAUGGACGAAAGUCUGACGGAGCAACGCCGCGUGAGUGAUGAAGGCCUUCGGGUCGUAAAGCUCUGUUGUUAGGGAAGAACAAGUACCGUUCAAAUAGGGCGGUACCAUGACGGUACCUAACCAGAAAGCCACGGCUAACUACGUGCCAGCAGCCGCGGUAAUACGUAGGUGGCAAGCGUUGUCCGGAAUUAUUGGGCGUAAAGGGCUCGCAGGCGGUUCCUUAAGUCUGAUGUGAAAGCCCACGGCUCAACCGUGGAGGGUCAUUGGAAACUGGGGAACUUGAGUACAGAAGAGGAGAGUGGAAUUCCACGUGUAGCGGUGAAAUGCGUAGAGAUGUGGAGGAACACCAGUGGCGAAGGCGACUCUCUGGUCUGUAACUGACGCUGAGGAGCGAAAGCGUGGGGAGCGAACAGGAUUAGAUACCCUGGUAGUCCACGCCGUAAACGAUGAGUGCUCAGUGUUAGAGGGUUUCCGCCCUUUAGUGCUGCAGCAAACGCAUUAAGCACUCCGCCUGGGGGAGUACGGUCGCCAGACUGAAGCUCACAUGAUUAGA
RNAcentral lists this ribosomal RNA (885 nucleotides) under actinobacterium 00YDP. Its description in RNAcentral is "bacterial SSU rRNA". It matches the Rfam family "Bacterial small subunit ribosomal RNA", at positions 45 to 913 of the family's 1533-position model. The record is from RNAcentral. Lineage: Bacteria; Bacillati; Actinomycetota; Actinomycetes.